Molecule: long non-coding RNA, 1150 nt
Filed under: Ananas comosus (pineapple)
Lineage: Eukaryota; Viridiplantae; Streptophyta; Magnoliopsida; Poales; Bromeliaceae
Description: long non-coding RNA (ACOM_LNC044118)
Source: RNAcentral
CUGACCUAUUAUUUGAACUAGCGACCCUGUUAAUAUUUUCGGAACGCUAUUUAUUUUUCCUUUCUAAAUUAAAAAAAAAUCUAUAUUUUACUCCUUCAAUAUUUUAAAUUGUUGUAUUUAAUUUUUCUUUCGUCAGGUUUUUAUCACUGUUCUAUCUAUUUCUUUUAAUUUAUAUCCAAAAUACUCUUCAAAAUAAAAGAAAUAUAUUAAAAAAGUAUAUUUUCUUAUAGAAGAGGAAAUGCAUUUUUAUUAUUAGGGCAAUUGCUUAUAUACUCCUGAAAAGUUUCCGACGUUCUGAUUUACCCCUCUUAGAAGGCUAAUAUUGAAAAAUACCAUUUUUACGUUCCAACCUAUUUCAAAUAUACUCUUAGAGUUAAAAUCUGUUAAUGAACUCUAUUAUCUGUAUAAAAUUACUAUUUCGCCCUUUCAAAUAUACUCUUCCACCAUCACCGAUUUUUCUUAUUUGCCCUUAAAUCAGGGGUACAAAAAGUAUUUUGACUUUUGAUCUUUUCAAAUAUACCCCUCUACCGUCACCAAUAUUUCUUAUUUGUCCUUAAGUUAAGGAUAAAAUUGAUAUUUUAAUUUUUUUUAAACUGUGGUAGAUAUUUAACUCACGUUUAACCCAAGUUAACCUAAUGGGUGAUAACUGUAGGGGUAUUUUGGAAUAACGGAGGAACAUAUGAAGAGUAUAUUGAAAAGAAAAAAAAUAAGGGCAAAUGAGAUAUUUCUGAAGUUUUAUUUUAAAAAGGGUAAAUUACACCAUUAGUCCCCAACCUUUUUCCAAAUUUUCAACUAGGUCCCUAACCUUUUUCUUCGUCAAUUGAGUCCCCAAUUGCAAUAAAUUAUUUCAAUUAGGUCCUAUCGUCUAUAUUUCCGUCACACUCGACGGAAACUGACACGUAGGCGCCACGUUGGUGUCUUUUUGGAGGGAAAAUUUCCCACCUUAGGUCAUAAAGACCUUUAACCAAUUAUUUGUAGGGAAUAUAAAUAGGAUAAAUAUAUAAAUAUAAAAUGCCCAGAACCCUUUCUUCCUUUUUGACUUUAUAUAUAGAAAAAAAACCUAGCUAAGAGAAAAGGGUUUUCACUGUAAUAAUUCAUUUUCUCUUCUCUUGAGCAUCACACUACCUUGAGAAAUGUCUGAAAUGUCCAC